CCCUUUGUAGCUCAGUUGGUAGAGCGCCAGACUGUAAUGGUUUCAAUUGGAAUCUGGAUGUCACCUGUUCGAUCCAGGUCGAAGGGA
This is a non-coding RNA of Tulasnella sp. 403, 87 nucleotides long. Lineage: Eukaryota; Fungi; Basidiomycota; Agaricomycetes; Cantharellales; Tulasnellaceae. The record is from the annotation of a GenBank genome assembly.